Molecule: ribosomal RNA, 433 nt
Filed under: uncultured bacterium
Lineage: Bacteria
Description: partial 16S ribosomal RNA
Rfam family: Bacterial small subunit ribosomal RNA
Source: RNAcentral
AGCGAACGCUGGCGGCAGGCUUAGCACAUGCAAGUCGAGCGGACCUUUCGGGGUCAGCGGCGGACGGGUGAGUAACGCGUGGGAACGUGCCUUCCGGUUCGGAAUAACCCUGGGAAACUAGGGCUAAUACCGGAUACGCCCUUAUGGGGAAAGGUUUACUGCCGGAAGAUCGGCCCGCGUCUGAUUAGCUAGUUGGUGGGGUAACGGCCUACCAAGGCGACGAUCAGUAGCUGGUCUGAGAGGAUGAUCAGCCACACUGGGACUGAGACACGGCCCAGACUCCUACGGGAGGCAGCAGUGGGGAAUAUUGGACAAUGGGCGCAAGCCUGAUCCAGCCAUGCCGCGUGAGUGAUGAAGGCCUUAGGGUUGUAAAGCUCUUUUAUCCGGGACGAUAAUGACGGUACCGGAGGAAUAAGCCCCGGCUAACUUCGUG